CUUUUUGCGGUCUGGGCUUGCUGUCUAUGACCACCCAGGAAGCCCUUACCCCAAAAAGCAU
This 61-nucleotide microRNA precursor is filed under the name Tetraodon nigroviridis (spotted green pufferfish). RNAcentral's name for it is "Tni-Mir-129-P2a_pre stem-loop". It matches the Rfam family "mir-129 microRNA precursor family", at positions 7 to 72 of the family's 75-position model. From Rfam's summary of the family: The mature sequence is excised from the 5' arm of the hairpin. The record is from RNAcentral. Lineage: Eukaryota; Metazoa; Chordata; Actinopteri; Tetraodontiformes; Tetraodontidae.